RNAcentral lists this ribosomal RNA (305 nucleotides) under uncultured bacterium. Its description in RNAcentral is "bacterial SSU rRNA". It matches the Rfam family "Bacterial small subunit ribosomal RNA", at positions 335 to 657 of the family's 1533-position model. The record is from RNAcentral.
UUCCCUACGGGACGCAGCAGUGGGGAAUAUUGCACAAUGGGGGGAACCCUGAUGCAGCGACGCCGCGUGGGUGAAGAAGUCAUUCGUGACGUAAAGCCCUAUCAGCAGGGAAGAAAAUGACGGUACCUGAAGAAGAAGCCCCGGCUAACUACGUGCCAGCAGCCGCGGUAAUACGUAGGGGGCAAGCGUUAUCCGGAUUUACUGGGUGUAAAGGGAGCGCAGGCGGCGCGUUAAGCCUGGUGUGAAAGCCCGCGGCCCAACCGCGGGACUGCAUUGGGAACUGGCGCGCUGGAGUGCCGGAGGGG